UACGGAGGAUUCAAGCGUUAUCCGGAUUUAUUGGGUUUAAAGGGUGCGUAGGCGGUCGGAUAGGUUAGAGGUGAAAUCCCGGGGCUCAACUUCGGAAUUGCCUCUGAUACUGUUCGGCUAGAGAGUAGUUGCGGUAGGCGGAAUGUAUGGUGUAGCGGUGAAAUGCUUAGAGAUCAUACAGAACACCGAUUGCGAAGGCAGCUUACCAAGCUACUUCUGACGUUGAGGCACGAAAGCGUGGGGAGCAAACAGG
Molecule: ribosomal RNA, 253 nt
Filed under: uncultured bacterium
Lineage: Bacteria
Description: partial 16S ribosomal RNA
Rfam family: Bacterial small subunit ribosomal RNA
Source: RNAcentral